GAUGAAGAACGUAGCGAAAUGCGAUAACUAAUGUGAAUUGCAGAAUUCAGUGAAUCAUCGAGUCUUUGAACGCACAUUGCGCCCCCUGGUAUUCCGGGGGGCAUGCCUGUCCGAGCGUCAUUGCUGCCCUCAAGCCCGGCUUGUGUGUUGGGUCGCCGUCCCCCUCUCCGGGGGGACGGGCCCGAAAGGCAGCGGCGGCACCGCGUCCGAUCCUCGAGCGUAUGGGGCUUUGUCACAUGCUCUGUAGGAUUGGCCGGCGCCUGCCGACGUUUUCCAACCAUUCUUUCCAGGUUGACCUCGGAUCAGGUAGGGAUACCCGCUGAACUUAAGCAUAUCAAUAAGCGGAGGA
RNAcentral lists this unclassified non-coding RNA (349 nucleotides) under soil metagenome. RNAcentral's name for it is "partial contains 5.8S ribosomal RNA, internal transcribed spacer 2, and large subunit ribosomal RNA". The stretch from base 1 to 120 matches the Rfam family "5.8S ribosomal RNA", at positions 35 to 154 of the family's 154-position model. The record is from RNAcentral.